Molecule: transfer RNA, 94 nt
Filed under: Bradyrhizobium sp. Ce-3
Lineage: Bacteria; Pseudomonadati; Pseudomonadota; Alphaproteobacteria; Hyphomicrobiales; Nitrobacteraceae
Description: tRNA-Asp
Source: RNAcentral
CGGCGCGCAUAGGCGAGGCUGGUCAUGCUGAUGUCGACCGCGAGCAGGCGCGCGUUCGGAUAGACCUGCGCGAUCUGGAUCGCGUGCGAGCCGG